Ctenopharyngodon idella (grass carp) is the source of this 2488-nucleotide long non-coding RNA. RefSeq lists it as uncharacterized. The transcript has 2 exons. Lineage: Eukaryota; Metazoa; Chordata; Actinopteri; Cypriniformes; Xenocyprididae. The record is from RefSeq and is a predicted model, not a curated record.
GAAUCCGCCCUAAGAAUAACACACUAUUCGUGCUCUCUCUGCUGUGGGUGUACUGUUCGAGGUAAGCAAAUUGUAUUUAUUUAUUUAUUUUUACACAAAAUCAGAUUAAAAAGACAAAAUAACCAUAUUUAUUUCUGAGAGGAUAACUGCUUAACUUUCUUUAUAGUUUUAAAUCAAGACACCACAGGUGAAAAGGAAAAGAUUAAUUAAUAGAUAUCUCCAUAUUUCCCAUUUGAUUGAUUAAAAAUAGUGCAAAUUUUUUUUUACAAAUUUUCUAAAUUGUUGUUUAAAUACACAAAUGAGGCUUUAUCUAAUAAAAUAUGCACUCAUUCAUUUCCAAAAACAGAAAUCUGAUGAUUAGAUGAAGCCAGGGUCAAAAUUAUUUUCAUUCUGGUGACAUUAAAAGAUUUUUACAAAGGGAUUUCUGUUUUUAUCACUCCAAAAAAAUCAGAAAUAAAAUACAAUUUCACCAUGUUUUUAAGAAUAAAAUGUGAAGACAGAUAAUAUACGAACAAAUGAACAAGCCUUCAGUAUAUAUAUAUAUAAAACUAAAGUUUGGUGUGUGUAAAGAUUUCUGACUCAAACUCACCACAUUUACAGAUUAAGAUUGAAAUCUACAGGCGCUAAUAGAUGAUGCAUGAAAAAAGCAACAAUCUUGCCUGUAGUGUCUCGCCUUAAAGAAAUGAGUAGACAGUAUGCAGUAUAUUGUCAGUUCUCUCUGUCCCGUUGUGUUUUGUGAUGUCGUCACACACAUUCUCUUUGUGAUGUCAUCACAUUCUCUGUAGCGUGUCUGUUCUGAAUGGAAUCAUGCUGCAGCAUCAUGUGACGUCCACUAGGGGUCCCGCUGUGUGUGAGGGUCCGGUGGGAGGGACCGCCUCGCUCUCAGUGGAACGGCAGCGGAUUGGUGACACGGAGUGGUACGUCCCAAACAAAGGCAGUGGCACACAAAGGGAGCUCACACACACACACACACACACACACACAUGCUGGUACGCCCUCAGCUGUUGCAAACGGCCACCCAGACCCUCCUUCUUUGUGUUCUCCUGCGCUGGAGACAAAGACGACACAGAAGCAGAACGAAUCAGAGCAGCUCCAUCUGUACAGCAGCCAUCAGGAGCGAAAGCUACUCGUCUUUUUACCCAAACACUGUCAUUAUUUACUCGCCCUCGUGCCAUUCAAACCUUUAUGACUUUCUUUCUUCAGUGGAACACAACAGAAGAUGUUUUGAGAAAUGUUCCACACAGUGGCCGAUCGUAAUAACAUCCGUUGAGCACCAGAAAACAGUCGACUUGUGCGCUAUUUUCCAGCUCUUCUGAAGUCAAAUGAUGCUUUAUGUGCAUCAAAUCAAUAUUUGAUGCCAUACACGCUUAAAAAUAAUGGUUCCAAAAUUAGGUUUCCAUACAUUGUAAAAAAUGAUUUAUCUUUGAAAAUACAAUAUCAGUCUUGUGUCUUAAAAAUGUAAUGUUUGAUUCAAUGUGUUACUUGCAGUUUCUUUGUAAUUAUUUGUGCAAUUUACUAUCAAUUUCUGAGUGAAAAUUGUUUCAAAGUAAAUCCUACACCAGAUUUUUUUUUGGUUUCCUGGAGAACCUUUCAGUGAUGAGUUCUUUAAAAAUAUAUAUAUUUUCUUAGUGUACACACUUAAAAACUAAUGUUAUGAUGCUUCAUGAUCAUCUUUGUGCCGUUUGCCUCCUCUUUCACCCGGAUAUUCCUCUUCAUCUGUUGAGUUUUGAGCGACAUGGAGAGUAAAUGUUCAACUUUUCCUUUAUUAUCCGUCAGGUUCUGAGUUUAUUCUCAAAGCGCAUUAGUGCUGAUGACAGACAGAGAUCCGCAGAAGACGGGUGUGUUACAUCACAGACCGAGGAGAGGGAAACAGGGACAGAUGUAACAUCAGUGACCCCAAUCGACUGAAGCGCCGCUCUCUUCCUCUGGAGGACAGACGCAGGAUUCUCUGCAGUCUCUUUCUUUUCCAUUUCAGUCAUUCCGUGUGUCUGUCCAUCCUGCAUCCAUCCGUCAGUGAUCCUGCAUCUCUCCAGUGCCGCUCUGAAGGUGGUGAUAAACCUCUGCAGGAAACACUGUUGCUCAACUUUACUGUUCAGGACAGUCGAAUCAUUACACAACGAGUUUAGAAACACAAACAGAACGUGAGGACAGAAAACAGACAUGAAGAGAGGAACAGAAGCUUCAGUCCCUCAUGAGACGCCUACAUAGACAGCAUUUCCAGGCUGUUUAACAGGUGACUCUGAGAACUCAUGUUCACCUAAGAUGGCUUUUGAUUUGAGAGAAAUGUCAAUUAGAAAUAUACUUAAUAUGCAUUUAUUUAAUUAAAUCUUGAAUGAAUCAUAGUAUCAAAAAACAAUUAAAAAAUAGGCUAUUAUUAAACAGAUUCUGACUCAUGUGAUGCAUCAGGUUGACUAACGUUUCUCUUCGUUUUUUCUCCAGAAUGUGGCAAAACUCUUUGAAACACCAAAAUAAAAUAUGAGGAACAAAA